AAGACUCUAGUAAAAUUAUUACAUUAGUUUGUCAAACUAAAGUUACUUAAGUGUUUCUUA
This 60-nucleotide transfer RNA is filed under the name Hyalella franciscae. RNAcentral's name for it is "tRNA-Asp". The record is from RNAcentral. Lineage: Eukaryota; Metazoa; Arthropoda; Malacostraca; Amphipoda; Hyalellidae.